CAGGAAGUAGUUUAAGUAGAAUGUCAGCUUUGGGUGCUGAUGGUGGGGGGGUGAACCUUCCUUCCUGA
This 68-nucleotide transfer RNA is filed under the name Chionomys nivalis (European snow vole). RNAcentral's name for it is "tRNA-Pro". It matches the Rfam family "tRNA". Rfam says of the family: Transfer RNA (tRNA) molecules are approximately 80 nucleotides in length. The record is from RNAcentral. Lineage: Eukaryota; Metazoa; Chordata; Mammalia; Rodentia; Cricetidae.